UAGGGAAUAUUGGACAAUGGGGGCAACCCUGAUCCAGCCAUGCCGCGUGAGUGAAGAAGGCCCUCGGGUUGUAAAGCUCUUUUGUCCGGAAAGAAAAGCUUCGGGUUAAUACCCCGGGGUUCUGACGGUACCGGAAGAAUAAGCACCGGCUAACUUCGUGCCAGCAGCCGCGGUAAUACGAAGGGUGCAAGCGUUACUCGGAAUUACUGGGCGUAAAGCGUGCGUAGGUGGUUGUUUAAGUCUGAUGUGAAAGCCCUGGGCUCAACCUGGGAAUGGCAUUGGAAUCUGGGCAGCUAGAGUGCGGUAGAGGGUAGUGGAAUUCCCGGUGUAGCAGUGAAAUGCGUAGAGAUCGGGAGGAACAUCUGUGGCGAAGGCGACUGCCUGGACCAGCACAGACACUGAGGCACGAAAGCGUGGGGAGCAAACA
RNAcentral lists this ribosomal RNA (427 nucleotides) under uncultured bacterium. Its description in RNAcentral is "bacterial SSU rRNA". It matches the Rfam family "Bacterial small subunit ribosomal RNA", at positions 355 to 774 of the family's 1533-position model. The record is from RNAcentral.